This 225-nucleotide ribosomal RNA is filed under the name uncultured bacterium. RNAcentral describes it as "partial 16S ribosomal RNA". It matches the Rfam family "Bacterial small subunit ribosomal RNA", at positions 111 to 334 of the family's 1533-position model. The record is from RNAcentral.
UAACGCGUGAGGAACCUGCCUCAAAGAGGGGGACAACAGUUGGAAACGACUGCUAAUACCGCAUAAGCCCACGGCUCGGCAUCGAGCAGAGGGAAAAGGAGCAAUCCGCUUUGAGAUGGCCUCGCGUCCGAUUAGCUAGUUGGUGAGGUAAUGGCCCACCAAGGCGACGAUCGGUAGCCGGACUGAGAGGUUGAACGGCCACAUUGGGACUGAGACACGGCCCAG